CGUCGUGAGACAGUUCGGUCCCUAUCUGCCGUGGGCGCUGGAGAACUGAGGGGGGCUGCUCCUAGUACGAGAGGACCGGAGUGGACGCAUCACUGGUGUUCGGGUUGUCAUGCCAAUGGCACUGCCCGGUAGCUAAAUGCGGAAGAGAUAAGUGCUGAAAGCAUCUAAGUACGAAACUUGCCCCGAGAUGAGUUCUCCCUGAGACUUUAGGUCUCCUGAAGGAACGUUGAAGACGACGACGUUGAUAGGCCGGGUGUGUAAGCGCAGCGAUGCGUUGAGCUAACCGGUACUAAUGAACCGUGAGGCUUAACCUUACAACGCCGAAG
Molecule: ribosomal RNA, 326 nt
Filed under: Salmonella enterica
Lineage: Bacteria; Pseudomonadati; Pseudomonadota; Gammaproteobacteria; Enterobacterales; Enterobacteriaceae
Description: partial 23S ribosomal RNA
Rfam family: Bacterial large subunit ribosomal RNA
Source: RNAcentral